RNAcentral lists this ribosomal RNA (303 nucleotides) under uncultured bacterium. Its description in RNAcentral is "partial 16S ribosomal RNA". It matches the Rfam family "Bacterial small subunit ribosomal RNA", at positions 507 to 809 of the family's 1533-position model. The record is from RNAcentral.
AGCAGCAGCCGCGGGAAUACAGAGGGUGCGAGCGUUAAUCGGAUUUACUGGGCGUAAAGCGUGCGUAGGCGGCUAAUUGAGUCGGAUGUGAAAUCCCCGAGCUUAACUUGGGAAUUGCAUUCGAUACUGGUUAGCUAGAGUGUGGGAGAGGAUGGUAGAAUUCCAGGUGUAGCGGUGAAAUGCGUAGAGAUCUGGAGGAAUACCGAUGGCGAAGGCAGCCAUCUGGCCUAACACUGACGCUGAGGUACGAAAGCAUGGGGAGCAAACAGGAUUAGAUACCCCUGUAGUCCCUGUCUCUUAUAU